Molecule: ribosomal RNA, 913 nt
Filed under: uncultured archaeon
Lineage: Archaea
Description: bacterial SSU rRNA
Rfam family: Archaeal small subunit ribosomal RNA
Source: RNAcentral
UUCCGGUUGAUCCUGCCGGACCCCACUGCUAUCGGGGUGGGACUAAAACAUGCGAGUCGAUAUGGUGAGGCGCGGCGAACGGCUCAGUAACACGUGGCUAACCUACCCUUUGGACGGGGACAACCCCGGGAAACUGGGGCUAAUCCCCGAUAGAUGAGGAGGCCUGGAAUGGUUUCUCAUCUAAAAGGUUUACCGCCAAAGGAUGGGGCCGCGGCCGAUCAGGUUGUUGGUGAGGUAACGGCUUACCAAGCCUAUAACCGGUACGGGCCGUGAGAGCGGGAGCCCGGAGAUGGGCACUGAGACAAGGGCCCAGGCCCUACGGGGCGCAGCAGUUGCGAAAACUCCGCAAUGCACGAAAGUGUGAACGGGCUACCCCGAGUGCCGUCCGCUGAGGAUGGCUUUUCUCCGCUGUAAGGAGGCGGAGGAAUAAGGCGAGGGCAAGUCUGGUGUCAGCCGCCGCGGUAAUACCAGCUCGCCGAGUGGUAGGGAUGAUUAUUGGGCCUAAAGCAUCCGUAGCCGGCCUUUCAAGUCUCUCGUUAAAUCCAGCGAUUCAAUCGUUGGACUGCGGGAGAUACUGUCAGGCUAGGGGGCGGGAGAAGCCGACGGUAUUCUUGGGGUAGGGGUAAAAUCCUAUAAUCCCGGGAAGACCACCGGUGGCGUAGGCGGUCGGCUAGCACGCGCUCGACGGUGAGGGACGAAAGCUGGGGGAGCGAACCGGAUUAGAUACCCGGGUAGUCUCAGCUGUAAACGAUGCUGGCUAGGUGUUGAAGCGGCUACGAGCCGCUUCAGUGCCGCAGGGAAGCCAUUAAGCCAGCCGCCUGGGGAGUACGGCCGCAAGGCUGAAACUUAAAGGAAUUGGCGGGGGAGCACCACAAGGGGUGAAGCUUGCGGUUUAAUUGGAGUCAACGCCGGA